AAAAAUUUAAGACUCCUGUAGUGAUGGGUGACGAGCCAGAUAAAGAGAUAUUGAAGAUGGUUGCAAGAACAACAUUGAGAACAAAGUUGUAUGAAUCUCUGGCUGAUCAACUGACAGACAUUGUUGCGAACUCUGUGCUCUGCAUCCGCAAGCCUGAAGAAGCUAUUGAUCUUUUUAUGGUUGAAAUAAUGCACAUGCGCCAUAAGUUUGAUGUUGACACUCGUUUGGUUGAGGGUCUUGUGCUCGACCAUGGUUCAAGACAUCCAGACAUGAAAAGACGAGCUGAGAAUUGUUACAUUAUGACUUGUAAUGUAUCAUUGGAAUAUGAGAAGAGUGAAGUAAAUGCAGGGUUUUUCUACUCGAAUGCGGAGCAGAGGGAGGCAAUGGUUGCUGCCGAAAGGCGCUCAGUUGAUGAGAGAGUGCAAAAGAUCAUUGAUCUUAAAAACAAGGUUUGUUCAGGGAAUGACAACAACUUUGUUGUUAUCAAUCAGAAAGGGAUUGAUCCAACAUCCCUUGACCUUCUCGCUCGGGAAGGAAUAAUUGCUCUUCGAAGAGCGAAGAGAAGAAACAUGGAACGCUUGGUUUUGGCAUGUGGUGGUGACGCAGUUAACUCUGUUGAUGACCUUACUCCUGAGUGCCUUGGCUGGGCCGGUCUGGUGUAUGAGCAUGUUCUUGGCGAAGAGAAGUAUACAUUUGUAGAAAAUGUCAAAAAUCCUCAUUCCUGCACUAUUCUUAUAAAAGGGCCAAAUGACCAUACAAUAGCACAAAUUAAAGAUGCUGUUCGUGAUGGACUGAGAGCAGUCAAAAAUACCAUUGAAGAUGA
This 823-nucleotide unclassified non-coding RNA is filed under the name Hevea brasiliensis (rubber tree). The record is from RNAcentral. Lineage: Eukaryota; Viridiplantae; Streptophyta; Magnoliopsida; Malpighiales; Euphorbiaceae.